RNAcentral lists this ribosomal RNA (492 nucleotides) under uncultured bacterium. Its description in RNAcentral is "partial 16S ribosomal RNA". It matches the Rfam family "Bacterial small subunit ribosomal RNA", at positions 29 to 507 of the family's 1533-position model. The record is from RNAcentral.
AGUGAACGCUGGCGGUAGGCCUAACACAUGCAAGUCGAACGGCAGCACAGUAAGAGCUUGCUCUUACGGGUGGCGAGUGGCGGACGGGUGAGGAAUACAUCGGAAUCUACUUUUUCGUGGGGGAUAACGUAGGGAAACCUACGCUAAUACCGCAUACGACCUACGGGUGAAAGCAGGGGAUCUUCGGACCUUGCGCGAUUGAAUGAGCCGAUGUCGGAUUAGCUAGUUGGCGGGGUAAAGGCCCACCAAGGCGACGAUCCGUAGCUGGUCUGAGAGGAGGAUCGGCCACACUGGAGCUGAGACACGGUCCAGACUCCUACGGGAGGCAGCAGUGGGGAAUAUUGGACAAUGGGCGCAAGCCUGAUCCAGCCAUACCGCGUGGGUGAAGAAGGCCUUCGGGUUGUAAAGCCCUUUUGUUGGGAAAGAAAAGCAGCAGGUUAAUACCCCGCUGUUCUGACGGUACCCAAAGAAUAAGCACCGGCUAACUUCGUG